RNAcentral lists this ribosomal RNA (224 nucleotides) under Gephyrocapsa oceanica. Its description in RNAcentral is "partial Bacterial small subunit ribosomal RNA". It matches the Rfam family "Bacterial small subunit ribosomal RNA", at positions 487 to 710 of the family's 1533-position model. The record is from RNAcentral. Lineage: Eukaryota; Haptophyta; Isochrysidales; Noelaerhabdaceae.
GAAGCACCGGCUAACUACGUGCCAGCAGCCGCGGUAAUACGUAGGGUGCAAGCGUUAUCCGGAUUUAUUGGGCGUAAAGGGCUCGUAGGCGGUUCGUCGCGUCCGGUGUGAAAGUCCAUCGCUUAACGGUGGAUCCGCGCCGGGUACGGGCGGGCUUGAGUGCGGUAGGGGAGACUGGAAUUCCCGGUGUAACGGUGGAAUGUGUAGAUAUCGGGAAGAACACC